This 355-nucleotide ribosomal RNA is filed under the name Thalassiosira gravida. RNAcentral's name for it is "partial Eukaryotic small subunit ribosomal RNA". It matches the Rfam family "Eukaryotic small subunit ribosomal RNA", at positions 1476 to 1830 of the family's 1831-position model. Lineage: Eukaryota; Bacillariophyta; Thalassiosirophyceae; Thalassiosirales; Thalassiosiraceae. The record is from RNAcentral.
GAUGUCCUGGGCCGCACGCGCGUUACACUGAUGCACUCAACGAGCAUAUAACCUUGGCCGAGAGGCCUGGGUAAUCUUGUUAACUUGCAUCGUGAUAGGGAUAGAUUAUUGCAAUUAUUAAUCUUGAACGAGGAAUUCCUAGUAAUCGCGGUUCAUCAAACCGCAAUGAUUACGUCCCUGCCCUUUGUACACACCGCCCGUCGCACCUACCGAUUGAAUGGUCCGGUGAGGACUCGGGAUUGUGGUUUGGCUCCUUCAUUGGGGCCUGACCGCGAGAACUUGUCCGAACCUUAUCAUUUAGAGGAAGGUGAAGUCGUAACAAGGUUUCCGUAGGUGAACCUGCGGAAGGAUCAUU